CUGGGCUUCCCUCAGCCGCUCCACUGCUGAGGGGAUAUGCUAAGGUUGCGACUCUAACCAUAUCUGAGCGUAAUGAGUUUAUAAUCACAGCUCUAACUCAGGAUAUUGAUUUCAUAUGCACUGGGAAAGUGACAAGCAGCAAGAUAGAGAAAAUGAUGAUGUUCUGUUGCUUGCUCUGAUUGUACCAAAAAAAAACUGCAGCGCGCCGUUGUCGACAUGGAAGGGAAAACAUGGAAGGAAAAACAUUCACCUUUCAGGUCAGGGGAGGCGACAACAACAAUGGACCUGCAGGUGAUGACACAGUCGUUGCUAAGGUUGAAACUGGUGGAAGUAGUGAGCAGUCAGCAUCAAAUACG
Brassica oleracea var. oleracea is the source of this 356-nucleotide long non-coding RNA. RefSeq lists it as uncharacterized. Lineage: Eukaryota; Viridiplantae; Streptophyta; Magnoliopsida; Brassicales; Brassicaceae. The transcript has 3 exons. The record is from RefSeq and is a predicted model, not a curated record.